AUACGUAGGGUGCAAGCGUUAAUCGGAAUUACUGGGCGUAAAGAGCUCGUAGGUGGUUUGUCGCGUCGUCUGUGAAAUUCCGGGGCUUAACUCCGGGCGUGCAGGCGAUACGGGCAUAACUUGAGUACUGUAGGGGAGACUGGAAUUCCUGGUGUAGCGGUGAAAUGCGCAGAUAUCAGGAGGAACACCGGUGGCGAAGGCCGGUCUCUGGGCAGUAACUGACGCUGAGGAGCGAAAGCAUGGGUAGCGAACAGGAUUAGAUACCCUGGUAGUCCAUGCCGUAAACGGUGGGCGCUAGGUGUAGGGGUCUUCCACGACUUCUGUGCCGUAGCUAACGCAUUAAGCGCCCCGCCUGGGGAGUACGGCCGCAAGGCUAAAACUCAAAGGAAUUGACGGGG
This 398-nucleotide ribosomal RNA is filed under the name uncultured bacterium. Its description in RNAcentral is "partial 16S ribosomal RNA". It matches the Rfam family "Bacterial small subunit ribosomal RNA", at positions 523 to 918 of the family's 1533-position model. The record is from RNAcentral.